UUCCGGUUGAUCCUGCCAGAGGUUACUGCUAUCGGAGUUCGAUUAAGCCAUGCGAGUCUAAAGGUUUCUUCGGAAACCUUGGCGAACUGCUCAGUAACACGUGGAUAACCUACCCUUGGGACUGGAAUAACCCCGGGAAACUGGGGAUAAUACCGGGUAGAUCAGGGAUGCUGGAAUGCACCUUGAUCCAAAGCUCCGGCGCCCAAGGAUGGGUCUGCGGCCUAUCAGGUUGUAGUGGGUGUAACGUACCUACUAGCCGACGACGGGUACGGGUUGUGAGAACAAGAGCCCGGAGAUGGAUUCUGAGACACGAAUCCAGGCCCUACGGGGUGCAGCAGGCGCGAAACCUUUACAAUGUGCGAAAGCAUGAUAAGGGAACUCCGAGUGCCAGCAUCUAAUGCUGGCUGUCCUUGUGCCUAAAACGCACAAGAUAGCAAGGGCCGGGUAAGACCGGUGCCAGCCGCCGCGGUAACACCGGCGGCCCGAGUGGUAGCCGCUAUUAUUGGGUCUAAAGGGUCCGUAGCCGGUUCGAUAAGUCCUCUGGGAAAUCUGGUUGCUUAACAAUCAGACUGCCAAGGGAUACUGUCGAACUUGAGACCGGGAGAGGUAAGAGGUACUUCAGGGGUAGGAGUGAAAUCUUGUAAUCCCUGGGGGACCAUCUGUGGCAAGGCGUCUUACCAGAACGGGUCUGACGGUGAGGGACGAAAGCUGGGGGCGCAAACCGGAUUAGAUACCCGGGUAGUCCCAGCCGUAAACGAUGCUCGCUAUGUGUCAGGUACGGUGUGACCGUAUCUGGUGCCGUAGGGAACCGUGAAGCGAGCCACCUGGGAAGUACGGUCGCAAGACUGAAACUUAAAGGAAUUGGCGGGGGAGCACUACAACGGGUGGAGCCUGCGGUUUAAUUGGAUUCAACGCCGGGAA
This 921-nucleotide ribosomal RNA is filed under the name uncultured archaeon. RNAcentral's name for it is "bacterial SSU rRNA". It matches the Rfam family "Archaeal small subunit ribosomal RNA", at positions 1 to 924 of the family's 1478-position model. The record is from RNAcentral.